ACUUUCUUAGUAUAAUUAGUACUACUGACUUCCAAUCAGUAAGCCUCGCAAUACAAGUGAGAGAAAGUA
This 69-nucleotide transfer RNA is filed under the name Ctenomys rionegrensis. RNAcentral describes it as "tRNA-Gly". Lineage: Eukaryota; Metazoa; Chordata; Mammalia; Rodentia; Ctenomyidae. The record is from RNAcentral.